GGAUGUGAGGGAGAUCUGGCUGUGACAUCUGUCACCCCAUGGAUCGCCAAGGUUGAUUCGGCUGAUUUUCCUGGCUAGGCGGAUGGCCCCUUCCUCCCUCACCGCUCCAAGUGCGUCCCUCCCGAAGCUUCGCGCUGGGUCAAAGAGGACAACCACCCCCGAUAGAUAGAGGAGGACUGUUCCUCGGUCAAGGGUGUAUGAGUAGCUGCGCUUGAACCUCCAAACAAGCUCUCAAGGUCUAUUAUAGACAAGAGGAUAUAUUUUUUAGGAAUUUGUGCUCCAAAGCUAAAAACACGAUGUUCCAGUGUUCCAUGGUGGUGCAUGCCUGUAACC
RNAcentral lists this small nuclear RNA (333 nucleotides) under Chinchilla lanigera (long-tailed chinchilla). Its description in RNAcentral is "7SK RNA (ENSCLAG00000021892.1)". It matches the Rfam family "7SK RNA". Rfam says of the family: 7SK was discovered as an abundant small nuclear RNA in the mid-70s but a possible function has only recently been suggested. Two independent studies have found that 7SK RNA binds the CDK9/cyclin T complex (known as elongation factor P-TEFb). P-TEFb activates transcription by phosphorylating the C-terminal domain of RNA polymerase II. Lineage: Eukaryota; Metazoa; Chordata; Mammalia; Rodentia; Chinchillidae. The record is from Rfam by way of RNAcentral.